This 507-nucleotide ribosomal RNA is filed under the name uncultured beta proteobacterium. RNAcentral describes it as "bacterial SSU rRNA". It matches the Rfam family "Bacterial small subunit ribosomal RNA", at positions 46 to 547 of the family's 1533-position model. Lineage: Bacteria; Pseudomonadati; Pseudomonadota; Betaproteobacteria. The record is from RNAcentral.
GCUUUACACAUGCAAGUCGAACGAUGAAGUCUAGCUUGCUAGACGGAUUAGUGGCGAACGGGUGAGUAAUAUAUCGGAACGUAUCCAAUAAUGGGGGAUAACUAAUCGAAAGGUUGGCUAAUACCGCAUACGCCCUGAGGGGGAAAGCUAGGGAUCUUCGGACCUGGCGUUAAUGGAGCGGCCGAUAUCUGAUUAGCUAGUUGGUGAGGUAAAGGCUCACCAAGGCGACGAUCAGUAGCUGGUCUGAGAGGACGACCAGCCACACUGGAACUGAGACACGGUCCAGACUCCUACGGGAGGCAGCAGUGGGGAAUUUUGGACAAUGGGCGAAAGCCUGAUCCAGCCAUUCCGCGUGAGUGAAGAAGGCCUUCGGGUUGUAAAGCUCUUUCGCAAGGGAAGAAAACUUAGGCUCGUAACAUAGUCUGAGGCUGACGGUACCUUGAUAAGAAGCACCGGCUAACUACGUGCCAGCAGCCGCGGUAAUACGUAGGGUGCGAGCGUUAAUCG